UACGGGGGGAGCAAGCGUUGUUCGGAUUUACUGGGCGUAAAGGGCGCGUAGGCGGCACCGCAAGUCGACUGUGAAAUCUCCGGGCUUAACCCGGAAAGGUCAGCCGAUACUGCGGGGCUAGAGUGCAGAAGGGGCAACUGGAAUUCUCGGUGUAGCGGUGAAAUGCGUAGAUAUCGAGAGGAACACCUGCGGCGAAGGCGGGUUGCUGGGCUGACACUGACGCUGAUGCGCGAAAGCUAGGGGAGCGAAGCGGG
RNAcentral lists this ribosomal RNA (254 nucleotides) under uncultured bacterium. Its description in RNAcentral is "partial 16S ribosomal RNA". It matches the Rfam family "Bacterial small subunit ribosomal RNA", at positions 524 to 777 of the family's 1533-position model. The record is from RNAcentral.